AACGUCGUGAGACAGUUCGGUCCCUAUCUGCCGUGGGUGUAGGAUACUUGAGAGGAGUUGCCCCUAGUACGAGAGGACCGGGGUGAACGGACCACUGGUGGACCUGUUGUGGCGCCAGCCGCAGUGCAGGGUAGCUAUGUUCGGAAAGGAUAACCGCUGAAGGCAUCUAAGCGGGAAGCCCCCCUCGAAACAAGGCCUCCCUGAAGAACCGUGGUAGACCACCACGUUGAUAGGCCGGGUGUGGAAGUGCGGCAACGCAUGAAGCUUACCGGUACUAAUCGUUCGUUCG
This 289-nucleotide ribosomal RNA is filed under the name Isochrysis galbana. RNAcentral's name for it is "partial Bacterial large subunit ribosomal RNA". It matches the Rfam family "Bacterial large subunit ribosomal RNA", at positions 2615 to 2915 of the family's 2925-position model. Lineage: Eukaryota; Haptophyta; Isochrysidales; Isochrysidaceae. The record is from RNAcentral.